Molecule: microRNA, 24 nt
Filed under: Ananas comosus (pineapple)
Lineage: Eukaryota; Viridiplantae; Streptophyta; Magnoliopsida; Poales; Bromeliaceae
Description: microRNA s1222_c023b
Source: RNAcentral
AGAUGUUGAAGAUUUAGAAAAAGA